Molecule: ribosomal RNA, 1430 nt
Filed under: uncultured Bordetella sp.
Lineage: Bacteria; Pseudomonadati; Pseudomonadota; Betaproteobacteria; Burkholderiales; Alcaligenaceae
Description: partial 16S-23S ribosomal RNA intergenic spacer
Rfam family: Bacterial small subunit ribosomal RNA
Source: RNAcentral
CCGACCGCGGCUCAGAUUGAACGCUGGUGAUGCUUGAAGGCCAUGCAAACAACUGCGCGCACGGACUUCGGUUCCGUGGCGAGUGGCGAACGGGUGAGUAAUGUAUCGGAACGUGCCUAGUAGCGGGGAUAACUACGCGAAAGCGUAGCUAAUACCGCAUACUGCCCUUCGGGGAAAGCGGGGACCUUCGGUCUCACCAUUAGAGGCUGCUGCUGAUAUCGGAUUAGCUAGUUGUGUAACGCCCACCAAGGCGACGAUCCAGCUGCUUGAGAGGACGACCAGCCACACUGGGACUGAUACGGCCCAGACUUUACGGGAGGCAGCAGUGGGGAAUUUUGGACAAUGGGGGAAACUCCUGAUCCAGCCAUCCCGCGUGGGUGUGAUGAAGGCUCCGGGCCAGGAAAGCACCCCGGGCGUAAAGAAACGGCACGGAUAAUACCCUUGCAACUGAUUUACCUGCAGAAUAAGAUCACAACUAAUGUCAGCAGCCGCGUAAUACGUAGGGUGCCGCGAACUGAAUUACUGGGCGGCAAGCGUGCGGCAGGCGGUUCGGAAAGAAAGAUGUAACCCAGAGCUUUGAAUUUGAAACGCAUUUUUUAACUACCGAGCUAGAGUGUGUCAGAGGGAGGUGGAAAUCUAUGUGUAGCAGGAAAUGGCAGAGGCGGGAGAACAUCUACGGCGAAGGCAGCCUCCUGGGAUAACACUGAUGCUCAUGCACGAAAGCGUGGGGAGCAACAGACGACACCCUGGUAAUCCACGCCCUAAACGAUGUCAACUAGCUGUUGGGGCCUUCGGGCCUUUGCAGCGCAGCUAACGCGUGAAGUUGACCGCCUGGGGAGUACGGUCGCAAGAUUAAAACUCAAAUAGAAUUGACGGGGACCUGCACAAGCGGUGAUGAUGUGAUUAAUUCGACGCAACGCGAAAACCUUACCUACCUUGCAGUGACAUGUCUGGAAUCCCGAAGAGAUUUGGGAGUGCUCGCAAGAGAACCGGAACACAGGCGCCGUAAUAUUGCCGUCAGCUGUGUCGUGAGAUGUUGGGUUAAGUCCCAACGAGUGCAACCCCACGCUGAAGUUGCUACGAAAGGGCACUCUAAUGAGACUGCCGCGACAAACGGAGGAAGGUGGAUGACGUCAAGUCCUCAUGUCCUUACAGCCUCACUGGUCAUACACGGUCGGGACAGAGGGUCGCCAACCCGCGAGGGGGAGCUAAUCCCAGAAACCCGGAUUCGUAGUCCGAUCGCAGUUCGCAAACUGACUGCGUGAAGUCGGAACGCUAGUAAUCGCGGAUCAGCAUGUCGCGGUGAAUACGUUCCCGGGUCUUGUACACACCGCCCGGGCCGCCUGCUGGGAGUGGUUUCACCGAAGAAGAAGAGCCAACCAAGAGGGCGAUUACUACGGCAGGAUUCAUGGAUCGUGCGAAGUCGCAGC